Molecule: ribosomal RNA, 414 nt
Filed under: uncultured bacterium
Lineage: Bacteria
Description: bacterial SSU rRNA
Rfam family: Bacterial small subunit ribosomal RNA
Source: RNAcentral
GGAAUAUUGGGCAAUGGGUGAGAGCCUGACCCAGCCAUGCCGCGUGCAGGAAGACGGCCCUCAGGGUUGUAAACUGCUUUUCUACGGGAAGAAAGAGGUUGUGCGCAACCAGUUGACGGUACCGUAGGAAUAAGCACCGGCUAACUCCGUGCCAGCAGCCGCGGUAAUACGGAGGGUGCAAGCGUUGUCCGGAUUUAUUGGGUUUAAAGGGUACGUAGGCGGGCGUCUAAGUCAGUGGUGAAAACCUAUCGCUUAACGGUAGAAUUGCCAUUGAUACUGGAUGUCUUGAGUAUAGUAGAGGUGGGCGGAAUUCAUGGUGUAGCGGUGAAAUGCAUAGAUACCAUGAGGAACACCGAUAGGGAAGCCAGCUCACUGGACUAUUACUGACGCUAAGGUACGAAAGCGUGGGGAGCG